UACGUAGGGUGCGAGCGUUGUCCGGAAUUAUUGGGCGUAAAGAGCUCGUAGGCGGUCUGUCGCGUCGAUCGUGAAAACUUGGGGCUUAACUCUGAGCUUGCGGUCGAUACGGGCAUGACUGGAGUUCGGCAGGGGAGACUGGAAUUCCUGGUGUAGCGGUGAAAUGCGCAGAUAUCAGGAGGAACACCGGUGGCGAAGGCGGGUCUCUGGGCCGAUACUGACGCUGAGGAGCGAAAGCAUGGGGAGCGAACAGG
RNAcentral lists this ribosomal RNA (254 nucleotides) under uncultured bacterium. Its description in RNAcentral is "partial 16S ribosomal RNA". It matches the Rfam family "Bacterial small subunit ribosomal RNA", at positions 524 to 776 of the family's 1533-position model. The record is from RNAcentral.